This is a long non-coding RNA of Cyanistes caeruleus (blue tit), 1606 nucleotides long. NCBI's taxonomy places the organism in Eukaryota, Metazoa, Chordata, Aves, Passeriformes, Paridae. The record is from Ensembl.
CCAUUUUUGGCACCGUUUCCCCGCUGAUUUUGGGGAUAUUUUGCCCAUUUUUGGCACCGUUUCCCCUCUGAUUUUGGGUCUAUUUUGCCCAUUUUUGGCACCGUUUCCCCGCUGAUUUUGGGGAUAUUUUGGGCAGUUUUGGCACCGUUUCCCCGCUGAUUUUGGGGUGAUUUUGUCCAUUUUUGGCACCGUUUCCCCGCUGAUUUUGGGGAUAUUUUGCCCAUUUUUGGCACCGUUUCCCCGCUGAUUUUGGGGUGAUUUUGCCCAUUUUUGGCACUGUUUCCCCACUGAUGUUGGGCUGAUUUUGGGGCCAUUUCUCACNNNNNNNNNNNNNNNNNNNNAUUCCCAAAUUUUCCCCCCAAAAUUCCCAAAUUUAUCCCAAAAUUCACCUGGAUCCCCGGAGGGAAUUUUGGGAAUAUUUUGGGAAUAUUUUUGGGAAUUUUUUGGGAAUUUUUGGGAAAUUUUUUGGGAAUUUUUGGGGAUAAUUUUGGGGAUUUUUUUGGAUAUUUUUGGGAAUAUUUUUGGGUUAUUUUGUGGGAAUUUUUUGGGAAUUUUUGGGGAUAAUUUUGGGAAUAUUUUGGGAAUAUUUUUGGGGAUAUUUUGGGUUAUUUGGGGAUAUUUUGGGCAGUUUUGGCACCGUUUCCCCUCUGAUUUUGGGGAUAUUUUGGGUUAUUUUUCAGGAAUAGUUUGACCCAUUUUUGGCCAUUUUUGGCACCGUUUCCCUGCUGAUUUUGGGUCUAUUUUGCCCAUUUUUGGCACCGUUUCCCCGCUGAUUUUGGGGUGAUUUUGUCCAUUUUUGGCACCGUUUCCCCGCUGAUUUUGGGUCUAUUUUGCCCAUUUUUGGCACCUUUUCCCCGCUGAUUUUGGGGAUAUUUUGCCCAUUUUUGGCACCUUUUCCCCGCUGAUUUUGGCUCGUUUCUGGGCAGUUUUUCGACCCCGGGCAGGUGCUGUACACCUACGAGUCCCCGGCGGGGUACGGGCUGAUCGCGCUGCAGUUCGGAGCCUUCGUUUGGUUCUGCGCCGCCGUGGGCGCCACCCUGAGCGCGGUGCCGGAGAGACGCCAGUUCUACCUGCCCUUCCUGGGGGCUUAUGCGUUCUGGUGAGUGCCAAAAUCACACCUGGACACACCUGGGGACACCUGGGGACACCUGGGGGGGUCACAGCCACACCUGGGGCGCCACCCUGAGCGCGGUGCCGGAGCGACGCCAGUUCUACCUGCCCUUCCUGGGGGCUUAUGCGUUCUGGUGAGUGCCAAAAUCACACCUGAGCACACCUGGGACACACCUGGGGACACCUGGGGACACCUGGGGACACUUGGGGACACCUGGACACACCUGGGGACACCUGGGGACACCUGGGAUACACCUGGGGACACCUGGGGGGGAUAAAAACACACCUGGGCACACCUGAGAUACACCUGGGCACACCUGGGGACACCUGGACACACCUGGGGACACCUGGGGGGGUCACAGCCACACCUGGGCACACCUGAGAUACACCUGGGGGGAUAAAAACACACCUGGGGACACCUGAGACACACCUGGACACACCUGGGGACACCUGGGGGUUACCUGAGGACACCUGGAGGGGUUUGGGGACACACCUG